AUAAGGCGGGUGCGGGGCGCCGCCCGCGGGCCUCGGCCCCUUCGGUGACGCCGCGCGGUUAUUUUUGGGUCUCGGCGAGCCGGGGCCGGAGGAGGCGCGCUCCCCGGGGGCGGGAGGCGCGGCCCUGCAGUCCCGGAAGCGGUUGGGGCGGCCUCCUCCGGCCUCGGAGCCGCCCCGCCCAAGGGCCAGGGAGCGGCCGCGGGGGCUCCCCGGUGGCCCAGCGCCCACCUCCUCGGCAGCAGCUGCGGGCCGCGCGCAGGGCCUUCUUGCUUCCUGCUGUCGGCGCCGUUUGCACACCGCCUCCCCUCUCCCCCUGCAGCGGGCCGCGCGAGGGCCGGGGUGGGGCGGGGUGGAGAGCCCAGCGGCCCGCGGUGCGGGGACCCGGGGGCGAUGGGGACCGCGGCUGGCCGCCCGCACGGCCAAGUGCCCCGCGGUGCAGAGGGCGAGGCAGGCUGACCGUCCGGCGCGGGGACUCCACAGGGCUGACCCGGGGUGGCCACCCUAUGCGGUUGAAGACACUGGGCAGAGGACACCUCGCAGACUCGGAAGUCACUCAAGGGUGGCUGUAGGAGCGAACUCGGAAGGUCAAGGCCCCUGAAGUUACAGGCUCUAACUGGUGUGUUUAUUUCCCUGACACCAGAGGGAAAUGGACGCGAAGAAAGGGCCCAGGGACAGAAGAGUUACACCAAAUGGUCAUGGUCUCCUGCUUCGUGGGAUCGAGCCCCACAUGGGGCUCUGCACUGACAGCAGGGAGCCUGCUUGGGAUUCUCUC
This is a long non-coding RNA of Neofelis nebulosa (Clouded leopard), 772 nucleotides long. RefSeq lists it as uncharacterized. The transcript has 2 exons. The record is from RefSeq and is a predicted model, not a curated record. NCBI's taxonomy places the organism in Eukaryota, Metazoa, Chordata, Mammalia, Carnivora, Felidae.